UACAGAGGGUGCAAACGUUGUUCGGAAUUACUGGGCGUAAGGCGCGUGUAGGCGGCAAUACAAGUCGGAUGUGAAAUCCCGCGGCUUAACCGUGGAAGUGCACCCGAAACUGUAUCGCUAGAGUCCCGGAGAGGAUGGUGGAAUUCUUGGUGUAGAGGUGAAAUUCGUAGAUAUCAAGUGGAACACCGGUGGCGAAGGCGGCCAUCUGGACGGUGACUGACGCUGAGACGCGAAAGCGUGGGUAGCAAACAGG
RNAcentral lists this ribosomal RNA (253 nucleotides) under uncultured bacterium. Its description in RNAcentral is "partial 16S ribosomal RNA". It matches the Rfam family "Bacterial small subunit ribosomal RNA", at positions 524 to 776 of the family's 1533-position model. The record is from RNAcentral.